Molecule: ribosomal RNA, 615 nt
Filed under: uncultured bacterium
Lineage: Bacteria
Description: bacterial SSU rRNA
Rfam family: Bacterial small subunit ribosomal RNA (bases 1-540)
Source: RNAcentral
CCUACGGGAGGCAGCAGUGGGGAAUUUUGGACAAUGGGCGAAAGCCUGAUCCAGCCAUUCCGCGUGCAGGAUGAAGGCCCUCGGGUUGUAAACUGCUUUUGUACAGAACGAAAAGGUUUCUACUAAUACUAGGAGCUCAUGACGGUACUGUAAGAAUAAGCACCGGCUAACUACGUGCCAGCAGCCGCGGUAAUACGUAGGGUGCAAGCGUUAAUCGGAAUUACUGGGCGUAAAGCGUGCGCAGGCGGUUAUAUAAGUCAGAUGUGAAAUCCCCGGGCUCAACCUGGGAACUGCAUUUGAGACUGUAUAGCUAGAGUACGGUAGAGGGGGAUGGAAUUCCGCGUGUAGCAGUGAAAUGCGUAGAUAUGCGGAGGAACACCGAUGGCGAAGGCAAUCCCCUGGACCUGUACUGACGCUCAUGCACGAAAGCGUGGGGAGCAAACAGGAUUAGAUACCCUGGUAGUCCACGCCCUAAACGAUGUCAACUGGUUGUUGGUACUUAACUGACUCAGUAACGAAGCUAACGCGUGAGUAGACGCGNGGAGGUACGGCGCGAGUAGAACGACGAAAGAAGUAGAGNGUGAGAGNGACGACGGACGACGACGAGGGAGGAGG